AUCACUUGUUCUUUAAAUGAGGACUUGUAUCAACGGCAUCACGAGGGUUAAACUGUCUCCUUUUCCCUAUCAGUAAAACUAAUCUCCCCGUGAAGAAGCGGGGAUAAUUUUAUAAGACGAGAAGACCCCAUGGAGCUUUAAACCCAACUACACCCCCUCUAAUUUUACUUUUAAGCACACAGGGCCCUGUAUGUUCUGGUUUUAGGUUGGGGUGACCACGGAGCAUAAACCAGCCUCCAUAAUGAAUAGACCUCCUCUUUAUCCAAGACUCACACUUCUAAGAAUUAGCAAUCUAACAUAAAAUGAUCCGAUAUUCGAUCAACGAACCAAGUUACCCUGGGGAUAACAGCGCAAUCUACUUCAAGAGCCCCUAUCGACAAGUAGGUUUACGACCUCGAUGUUGGAUCAGGGUAUCCCAGUGGUGCAGCAGCUGCUAAAGGUUCGUUUGUUCAACGAUCAAA
This 461-nucleotide ribosomal RNA is filed under the name Guibemantis punctatus. Its description in RNAcentral is "partial 16S ribosomal RNA". It matches the Rfam family "Bacterial large subunit ribosomal RNA", at positions 1964 to 2592 of the family's 2925-position model. Lineage: Eukaryota; Metazoa; Chordata; Amphibia; Anura; Mantellidae. The record is from RNAcentral.